This 253-nucleotide ribosomal RNA is filed under the name uncultured bacterium. RNAcentral describes it as "partial 16S ribosomal RNA". It matches the Rfam family "Bacterial small subunit ribosomal RNA", at positions 524 to 776 of the family's 1533-position model. The record is from RNAcentral.
UACAGAGGGGGCAAGCGUUGUUCGGAAUUACUGGGCGUAAAGGGCGCGUAGGCGGCCUUCUAAGUCGAACGUGAAAUCCCCGGGCUCAACCCGGGAACUGCGUCCGAUACUGGAAGGCUUGAAUCCGGGAGAGGGAUGCGGAAUUCCAGGUGUAGCGGUGAAAUGCGUAGAUAUCUGGAGGAACACCGGCGGCGAAGGCGGCAUCCUGGACCGGCAUUGACGCUGAGGCGCGAAAGCCAGGGGAGCAAACGGG